This 380-nucleotide ribosomal RNA is filed under the name uncultured eukaryote. RNAcentral describes it as "partial 18S ribosomal RNA". It matches the Rfam family "Eukaryotic small subunit ribosomal RNA", at positions 592 to 976 of the family's 1831-position model. The record is from RNAcentral.
CAAUAGCGUAUAUUAAAGUUGUUGCAGUUAGAACGCUCGUAGUCGGAUUUCGGGGCGGGCCGACCGGUCUGCCGAUGGGUACGCACUGGUCGGCGCGUCCUUCCUUCCGGAGACCGUGCCUACUCUUAACUGAGCGGGGGCGGGAGACGGAUCGUUUACUUUGAAAAAAUCAGAGUGUUUCAAGCAGGCAGCUCGCUCUUGCAUGGAUUAGCAUGGGAUAAUGAAAUAGGACUUUGGUGCUAUUUUGUUGGCUUCGAACACCGAAGUAAUGAUUAACAGGGACAGUCAGGGGCACUCGUAUUCCGCCGAGAGAGGUGAAAUUCUCAGACCAGCGGAAGACGAACUACUGCGAAAGCAUUUGCCAGGGAUGUUUUCACUGA